RNAcentral lists this ribosomal RNA (68 nucleotides) under Silene baccifera. Its description in RNAcentral is "partial 5.8S ribosomal RNA". The record is from RNAcentral. Lineage: Eukaryota; Viridiplantae; Streptophyta; Magnoliopsida; Caryophyllales; Caryophyllaceae.
AUCGAGUUUUUGAACGCAAGUUGCGCCCGAAGCCUUUGGCUGAGGGCACGUCUGCCUGGGCGUCACGC